RNAcentral lists this ribosomal RNA (493 nucleotides) under Salmonella enterica subsp. enterica serovar Schwarzengrund. RNAcentral's name for it is "bacterial SSU rRNA". It matches the Rfam family "Bacterial small subunit ribosomal RNA", at positions 1 to 483 of the family's 1533-position model. The record is from RNAcentral. Lineage: Bacteria; Pseudomonadati; Pseudomonadota; Gammaproteobacteria; Enterobacterales; Enterobacteriaceae.
AAAUUGAAGAGUUUGAUCAUGGCUCAGAUUGAACGCUGGCGGCAGGCCUAACACAUGCAAGUCGAACGGUAACAGGAAGCAGCUUGCUGCUUUGCUGACGAGUGGCGGACGGGUGAGUAAUGUCUGGGAAACUGCCUGAUGGAGGGGGAUAACUACUGGAAACGGUGGCUAAUACCGCAUAACGUCGCAAGACCAAAGAGGGGGACCUUCGGGCCUCUUGCCAUCAGAUGUGCCCAGAUGGGAUUAGCUUGUUGGUGAGGUAACGGCUCACCAAGGCGACGAUCCCUAGCUGGUCUGAGAGGAUGACCAGCCACACUGGAACUGAGACACGGUCCAGACUCCUACGGGAGGCAGCAGUGGGGAAUAUUGCACAAUGGGCGCAAGCCUGAUGCAGCCAUGCCGCGUGUAUGAAGAAGGCCUUCGGGUUGUAAAGUACUUUCAGCGGGGAGGAAGGUGUUGUGGUUAAUAACCGCAGCAAGUGACGUUACCCGCA